Molecule: ribosomal RNA, 1322 nt
Filed under: metagenome
Description: bacterial SSU rRNA
Rfam family: Archaeal small subunit ribosomal RNA
Source: RNAcentral
GGUUCAGUAACACGUAGCUAAUCUACCCUAAAGUCAAGGAUAACCUCGGGAAACUGAGGAUAAAACUUGAUAAAAGACAUACCCUGGAAUGAUUUGUCUUUUAAACUCGUGCUUUAGGAUGAGGCUGCGGCGGAUUAGGUUGUUGGCGGGGUAAUAGCCCACCAAGCCAAAGAUCCGUAAGGGCUCUUAGCGGAGAAGCCCUGAGAGGGACUCUGAGACACUAGUCCCACUCCUACGGGGGGCAGCAGUCGAGAAUCUUCUGCAAUGCACGCAAGUGUGACAGAGCGAGCCAGAGUGCUUUUCAUUUGAGAAGCUUUUGUGAAAUCUAAAAAGUUUUACGAAUAAGGACUGGGUAAGACGGGUGCCAGCCGCCGCGGUAAUCCCCGCAGUCCAAGUCGCAGCCAUCAUUCUUGGGUCUAAGACAUCCGUAGCUUGUUUAAUGAGUUCCUUGUGAAAUCCCAUGUCUUAAAUAUGGGGCGCGCAAGGAGUACUGUUAAACUAGAGACUGGAAGACGUAAAGAGUACGAUGGAAGUAGUGGUAAAAUAUGUUAAUCUCUAUCGGACUUACAAUAGCGAAGGCACUUUACGAGUACAGUUCUGACAGUAAGGGAUGAAGGCUAGGGGCGCAAAGGGGAUUAGAUACCCCUGUAGUCCUAGCAGUAAACACUGCGCACUAAACAUUGGGACCUCCUCGGGAGGUUUCAGUGCUGAAGGGAAGCCGAAGAGUGCGCUACCUGGGAAGUAUAGCCGCAAGGCCGAAACUUAAGGGAAUUGGCGGGGAGACAUACAACUGGUGACGCGUGCGGUUCAAUUAGAUUCUACACCGUGAACCUCACCAGGAGCGACAGCAGAAUGAAGGUCAGUCUAAAGGGCUUACCUGACACGCUGAGAGGAGUUGCAUGGCCGACGUCAGCCUGUGUCGUGAGAUGACCUGUUAAAUCAGGUAACAGGCAAGACCCACAUGUAUAUUUACUAUGUGUACAAUAUACAGAUUGCCUUGGUAACAUGGAUGAAAGUGUGGGCUACGUUAGGUGUGUACAGCCCGAAUCCCCUGGGCUACACGCGCGCGUCAAUGCUAUAUGCAAAGAGAUGCGACUCUGAAAAGAGAAGCCAAUCUCAUAAAAUAUAGCCUAGUUCAGAUUGAGGUUUGCAACCCAACCUCAUGACGCUGGAAUCAGUAGUAAUCGUUCGUUAUCAGCAAACGGUGAAUAUGUCCCUGUUUCUUGCACACACUGCCCGUCAAACCAACCGAGUUAUGUUAUGGUGAAACUCUCCGGAGGAGAACCUUAGCAUGGCAAGGUAGGUUAAGUCGACACAAGGUA